RNAcentral lists this transfer RNA (86 nucleotides) under Candidatus Mycoplasma haematobovis. RNAcentral's name for it is "Candidatus Mycoplasma haemobos tRNA-Tyr". It matches the Rfam family "tRNA". Rfam says of the family: Transfer RNA (tRNA) molecules are approximately 80 nucleotides in length. Their secondary structure includes four short double-helical elements and three loops (D, anti-codon, and T loops). Further hydrogen bonds mediate the characteristic L-shaped molecular structure. tRNAs have two regions of fundamental functional importance: the anti-codon, which is responsible for specific mRNA codon recognition, and the 3' end, to which the tRNAs corresponding amino acid is attached (by aminoacyl-tRNA synthetases). tRNAs cope with the degeneracy of the genetic code in two manners: having more than one tRNA (with a specific anti-codon) for a particular amino acid; and 'wobble' base-pairing, i.e. permitting non-standard base-pairing at the 3rd anti-codon position. RNAcentral also lists the same sequence under 1 other name. The record is from RNAcentral. Lineage: Bacteria; Bacillati; Mycoplasmatota; Mollicutes; Mycoplasmatales; Mycoplasmataceae.
GGGUAGGUAGCGAAGUGGCUAAACGCUUCUGACUGUAGAUCAGACACCUUAUGGUUUCGGGGGUUCGAAUCCCUCCCUGCCCACCA